AAGUGUUGGAGGGUUUCCGCCCUUCAGUGCUGCAGCAAACGCAUUAAGCACUCCGCCUGGGGAGUACGACCGCAAGGUUGAAACUCAAAGGAAUUGACGGGGGCCCGCACAAGCGGUGGAGCAUGUGGUUUAAUUCGAAGCAACGCGAAGAACCUUACCAGGUCUUGACAUCCUUUGACCACUCUAGAGAUAGAGCUUUCCCUUCGGGGACAAAGUGACAGGUGGUGCAUGGUUGUCGUCAGCUCGUGUCGUGAGAUGUUGGGUUAAGUCCCGCAACGAGCGCAACCCUUAUUGUUAGUUGCCAUCAUUUAGUUGGGCACUCUAGCGAGACUGCCGGUGACAAACCGGAGGAAGGUGGGGAUGACGUCAAAUCAUCAUGCCCCUUAUGACCUGGGCUACACACGUGCUACAAUGGGAAGUACAACGAGUCGCUAGACCGCGAGGUCAUGCAAAUCUCUUAAAGCUUCUCUCAGUUCGGAUUGCAGGCUGCAACUCGCCUGCAUGAAGCCGGAAUCGCUAGUAAUCGCGGAUCAGCACGCCGCGGUGAAUACGUUCCCGGGCCUUGUACACACCGCCCGUCACACCACGAGAGUUUGUAACACCCGAAGUCGGU
This 613-nucleotide ribosomal RNA is filed under the name Enterococcus faecalis. RNAcentral describes it as "bacterial SSU rRNA". It matches the Rfam family "Bacterial small subunit ribosomal RNA", at positions 818 to 1431 of the family's 1533-position model. The record is from RNAcentral. Lineage: Bacteria; Bacillati; Bacillota; Bacilli; Lactobacillales; Enterococcaceae.